Molecule: small RNA, 123 nt
Filed under: Klebsiella michiganensis
Lineage: Bacteria; Pseudomonadati; Pseudomonadota; Gammaproteobacteria; Enterobacterales; Enterobacteriaceae
Description: partial RtT sRNA
Rfam family: RtT RNA
About the family: This family represents a bacterial cis-regulatory element known as RtT RNA.
Source: RNAcentral
GGUUCGAAUCCUGCACGACCCACCAAUUUAACAUCAAACUCAGAUGUUAAGCGUGAAGGAUAACGUUGCGUCAGCAACGGCCCGUAGGGCGAGCGAAAGCGAGUCAUCCUGCACGACCCACCA